ACUCAAAUGAAUAGACGGGGACCCGCACAAGCGGUGGAUGAUGUGGUUUAAUUCGAUGCAACGCGAAAAACCUUACCCACCUUUGACAUGUAUGGAAGUUUCCAGAGAUGGAUUCGUGCUCGAAAGAGAGCCAUAACACAGGUGCUGCAUGGCUGUCGUCAGCUCGUGUCGUGAGAUGUUGGGUUAAGUCCCGCAACGAGCGCAACCCUUGUCAUUAGUUGCUACAUUCAGUUGGGCACUCUAAUGAGACUGCCGGUGACAAGCCGGAGGAAGGUGGGGAUGACGUCAAGUCCUCAUGGCCCUUAUAGGUGGGGCUACACACGUCAUACAAUGGCCGGUACAAAGGGUCGCAAACCCGCGAGGGGGAGCCAAUCCAUCAAAGCCGGUCGUAGUCCGGAUCGCAGUCUGCAACUCGACUGCGUGAAGUCGGAAUCGCUAGUAAUCGUGGAUCAGCAUGUCACGGUGAAUACGUUCCCGGGUCUUGCACACACCGCCCGU
This 498-nucleotide ribosomal RNA is filed under the name uncultured bacterium. RNAcentral's name for it is "bacterial SSU rRNA". It matches the Rfam family "Bacterial small subunit ribosomal RNA", at positions 899 to 1397 of the family's 1533-position model. The record is from RNAcentral.